CCUACGGGAGGCAGCAGUGGGGAAUAUUGGACAAUGGGCGCAAGCCUGAUCCAGCCAUACCGCGUGUGUGAAGAAGGCCUUUUGGUUGUAAAGCACUUUAAGCGAGGAGGAGGCUCUUGAGGUUAAUACCCUUGAUGAGUGGACGUUACUCGCAGAAUAAGCACCGGCUAACUCUGUGCCAGCAGCCGCGGUAAUACAGAGGGUGCGAGCGUUAAUCGGAAUUACUGGGCGUAAAGCGCGCGUAGGCGGCUUGUUAAGUCGGAUGUGAAAUCCCCGGGCUCAACCUGGGCACUGCAUUCGAUACUGGCAAGCUAGAGUAUGGGAGAGGAAGGUAGAAUUCCAGGUGUAGCGGUGAAAUGCGUAGAGAUCUGGAGGAAUACCGAUGGCGAAGGCAGCCUUCUGGCCUAAUACUGACGCUGAGGUGCGAAAGCAUGGGGAGCAAACAGGAUUAGAUACCCUGGUAGUCCAUGCGUAACGUAUGUCACUACGCCGUUCGGGUACCGUUCGUAGUCGUUAGUUGGCGCGNGCGUAACGCGAGUAAGUUAGUACCGCCGUGGGAGGUACGGUCGCGAGAACGUAAACGUACGAAGGAAGUUAGACGGACGNGAGGACGNGCGAGGCGACGACGAGGGGAGUAGG
Molecule: ribosomal RNA, 639 nt
Filed under: uncultured bacterium
Lineage: Bacteria
Description: bacterial SSU rRNA
Rfam family: Bacterial small subunit ribosomal RNA (bases 1-491)
Source: RNAcentral